UAUAUAAUCAGGAUAACCCACCACGCACGCAGAGGAAGAACAAGAAACCGCCCUGGAAAGGGGACCUAAAGAAGCGGAGAAAAUAAGCUAACCAUUUACAACUGCCUCCAUACAUCCCGAGGAGACGGAGGGAGCCAUCUCUUACCGCCUCUGCACUGGCUGGAAAGCUGUCUUUAGUAACUUUUUCUCUACUUCCAAGGCACUAGAUCGAUCUAAAAAGAGAAGGGGAAAAAAAAAAGUGUUCCUUUAUAGCCCCCGUUUUGUUCCUCCCAUCCCUGAAUUAAGCCUCGAGAUUUAAGCUCUUUUCUCAGCGAGUUGCAAAUAAGACACAACAACUGCUCUGCUGCAGAGGUGACCGUCAGAGGAAACACACUGACCCCGGAGCGAGCCUGACCUGGCGGCCGGGUCCUUCCCGCAAAAGCGACAACAACAGCAACAAAAAUUAUCUCCGUUGGAGGAAGGGCUAAUGGAAUGAGUCAUCGACAGAGUGGAUUAUUUAAAGCACCAUGAGGAAAAUUAAGCUGUGAAGUGGAAUUCCAUCAGGCUGUCUACUGUGAAGCCCCGUGGCUUUAGAAAUGGGGCAGCAGUGGCCAGAAAUGACACUCAAAAGCAAAUAACAUGUAAUUAAUAGAAUUCCAGUUCCUGUGAAAGAGAGAAGAUGCUUUUACUUCACACAACCAUCUAAGGAAGU
This is a long non-coding RNA of Corvus hawaiiensis (hawaiian crow), 691 nucleotides long. RefSeq lists it as uncharacterized. The transcript is spliced from 4 exons. The record is from RefSeq and is a predicted model, not a curated record. Lineage: Eukaryota; Metazoa; Chordata; Aves; Passeriformes; Corvidae.